Molecule: long non-coding RNA, 314 nt
Filed under: Selaginella moellendorffii
Lineage: Eukaryota; Viridiplantae; Streptophyta; Lycopodiopsida; Selaginellales; Selaginellaceae
Description: long non-coding RNA (SMOE_LNC002045)
Source: RNAcentral
GGCUGGGUGACCUCCCGGGAAGUCCAAAACUCAGGAGCUUACAUUUGGUAUCGGAGCGGUCUCGGGUCCAACUCUGUUGGUUGGCUAAGGGAAUCACACCACAUGUUGAUUGACAUCUGGUUGGUCCAGUUUGCUCCCGCUAGGCUCGACCCGAGGGGUAGGGUGUCAAGAGAGCUGCGGCUCUCAGAUUCCGUUCACGAGGGCGUGAACUUGCAAGGAAGCGUGGUGGAUUGUAAGCAACCAAAAGGAACGACUCGAGAGACGGUCCAUGGGGUUCAAAUAUAGAGGGAAAGGGCCCAUGAAUAAGAGUGCAC